Molecule: ribosomal RNA, 383 nt
Filed under: marine Metazoa environmental sample
Lineage: Eukaryota; Metazoa
Description: SSU rRNA
Rfam family: Eukaryotic small subunit ribosomal RNA
Source: RNAcentral
AGCUCCAAUAGCGUAUAUUAAAGUUGUUGCAGUUAAAAAGCUCGUAGUUGGAUCUCGGGUCCGGGCUGACGGUCCGCCCAGUCGGCGGUCACUGUCUGACCCGACCUACCUGCCGGUCUUCCCCUGGUGCUCUUCGCUGAGUGUCUGGGGCGGCCGGGACGUUUACUUUGAAAAAAUUAGAGUGCUCAAGGCAGGCGUCCUCGCCUGAAUAUUCGUGCAUGGAAUAAUGGAAGAGGACCUCGGUUCUAUUUUGUUGGUUUUCGGAACUCGAGGUAAUGAUUAAGAGGAACUGACGGGGGCAUUCGUAUUACGGUGUUAGAGGUGAAAUUCUUGGAUCGCCGUAAGACGAACUACUGCGAAAGCAUUUGCCAAGAAUGUUUUCA